Molecule: small nuclear RNA, 106 nt
Organism: Sciurus vulgaris (Eurasian red squirrel)
Lineage: Eukaryota; Metazoa; Chordata; Mammalia; Rodentia; Sciuridae
Source: Ensembl
GUACUCACAUCAGCAGCAUACACACUAAAACUGGAUCAAUACAGAGAAAAUGAGCAUGACCCCUAUGCAAAGAUAUGGAAACUUGUAAAAAAUGUCCCAUAUUUAU